CAUGAAGUUGGAAUUGCUAGUAAUCGCGGAUCAGCAUGCCGCGGUGAAUACGUUCCCGGGGAUUGUACACACCGCCCGUCACACCAUGAGAGUCGGGAACACCCAAAGUCCGUAGUCUAACCGCAAGGAGGACGCGGCCUAAGGUGGGUUCGAUAAUUGGGGUGAAGUCGUAACAAGGUAUC
This 182-nucleotide ribosomal RNA is filed under the name uncultured bacterium. RNAcentral's name for it is "partial 16S ribosomal RNA". It matches the Rfam family "Bacterial small subunit ribosomal RNA", at positions 1319 to 1500 of the family's 1533-position model. The record is from RNAcentral.